GCCCCCCGCACCUCGCAGGCAGGUUUUCCACCUUCCCUUGCACGGGGUAAUGGCGUCAGAUGGCACGUAGGCCCGCCAAGCUAAAUCUGCCUGUGCACCCUUCCAGGGCCAGCAAAGCACCGCCAUAACCACAGUAAGGAAAAAGGAUCUCAGCCUGAAUUUGGCUAUACCGGGAGAAAGAAAAGUUCUGAGGAGCUGUUAUUAUAUAUUCUAAUGAGAAGUCAUUGGAGAAAUUAAAAAGGGCAGAGAAAGAUGAAGACGCCAGCACUAAUUCCGCAGGAAGCCUCCCAGGGAAAAGGCUGUGUGAGUGUGAACGCUGAAAAGCAUGAAGGCCUGGAAUUAGACUAUCAUUUAGAAAGCGUUACUAAUCCGAAGUUACAGCAGUAAUUCCAUGAUUUGCUGGGUCCCACACGCAGCGCCAGAAUUAAAGAUACGGAUUUUCUAGAAAUGUAACUCAACUGUGGCACCGAGUCUCGGCAAGAUCCGAAUGAAUCAUUCAUUCCAAAGGCAGCGAAAGACGUGUCAUUAAGAACCAACCUCCUUCUCUCCAGCCCAUCUGGAAUAUGUAUACUCGAUGCAAUCCCAGAAAUUGUGGAAGAGAUCGGAGAUCCCAGUGAGUGGACAAGGAACUUUUGAAGCCCGAGAGCCCCAACCUGCUUCUCCAUUGGCCCCAGAGAGGAAACAGCUUUGUUUCGUGAACACAGUGGAUUUCUGCAUCAGUUCGACACACAGCGGUUCAGCCAUGGGGAGGGAGCCAGGGCAGCGCAGGGAGCCAAGGGAUCAUCCCACGUCACUCCUGUAUGUUGCCUUCAGUGCCCUCAAUACCCCAGAGCAGGACCAAAAUGCUUAGGCAGAGAGACCUGAGCCAGUCACUGUCUCACCUGCUGAAAUACCAGGUGUGUGAAGUUUGGCUUUGCUCAUGGAGCAGAGCUCGGCCCUUGCUGCUCUUGAUCCCUGGGUCUGUGGAGCUGUGAAAGCGCAGCCUUCCCAAAGGCACUGUGCUUGGGGCCCAUGAGGACCAUGAGCUUUUCCAGGCCAUGCAGCCCUGCUGCUGUUGUACCGCACCCUCUCUGUUCCUGUAAGAGAAAUGUACUGCCUGUAAUUCUCUCCCAUUCAAAUCCUCCCAACCCCAUGCACUGUUGAAAAUAAACUCUCUCUUUUGCAAAAGCCA
RNAcentral lists this long non-coding RNA (1171 nucleotides) under Zonotrichia albicollis (white-throated sparrow). RNAcentral describes it as "lncRNA (ENSZALG00000001569.1)". The record is from RNAcentral. Lineage: Eukaryota; Metazoa; Chordata; Aves; Passeriformes; Passerellidae.